UGUGUUCCAAGAGAGGAACGACUAAAUCCAAUGGCAAACUAGUGCUUCGCCGUCGUCCACUCGGGGUGCGUUACCUCAUCCACGUGAAUUCUCCCAAAAACCGAUUACACCGUCAACCCCAGAUCUGACGUUUCAAUCGACCUCUCACGUACACCGAUUGUACCAAUUGUACCGUUUAUACCGACUGUUUACGCGGAAAAGUCGCGGUCGUGUGUGGGUCACGUGACGGACAGAGAUUGGGUGGCUGUUGGGUGGGUGUAAUUUGACUCAAGAGUGGUAUUGAUAUCCCACGAUGAUUCUGUAACGUGUGGUACAUAAAUAAUGGUACGGUGGGCGCAGGGAUCGGGGAAGACCGGCCUAACCUCAACUUGGCCAGUGCUCAGUGGGCGGCCAUAUUGGAUCGUGAUAUGGGCCCGCAAUUAAGGCCGAGUAGGCCACCCGGACGAGGAGCGCACCUCAGCGAUAAGGAAGACGGAUCAUCCUGGGAACAAUGGCAACAAUCGAAAAAUGAAACUUUCACCUGGAUGAAACGACUGAGGAGACAGGAAUAAAAAUAUUCGAACCAGAUAAGACUUUUCCGCGAAGUGCAUCUCUGCGGAGGACCCCGGAAAUGCGCGAUUGUAAAAGGUGGUGAUGCUCCGGGGGUUUUCAUGCCUGGGGAGAGGAAAAAACCGAGAGGACCUGCAGAGGUGGGAGAGGAGAGGGCCAUUAGUAGGCAUUUUGUGUGGUCCAGAGUGAACACAAGUGACGCUCCUAUGCAAAUUCAGCCACUACCGCAAUAAAUACCGAGAUGGUGGACCGAUGGGUGGCUCUGGGGGUCCGCUGGUUUAAUCUUUCGGGGGUACCAACACCAGCAUGCAUUCCGCAUUAAUUUCUAUUUAUCAUAAAGACCUGUGAAUUUCGGCAUUUGGGGAAUUAGUCUUUGUAGAUAUCCUGAAAAUAUUUAAUGAGUGACAAUUCAUUAAUUUCGAGAGAAAAUCUUAGAACGAUUAGUCAAAAUCACGAACUUUUAAAAAAAAUCAGUAGAAACUGUAAACUGACUUGCAAUUAGCUCAUAAAAAUAA
Fopius arisanus is the source of this 1064-nucleotide long non-coding RNA. RefSeq lists it as uncharacterized. The record is from RefSeq and is a predicted model, not a curated record. NCBI's taxonomy places the organism in Eukaryota, Metazoa, Arthropoda, Insecta, Hymenoptera, Braconidae. The transcript is spliced from 3 exons.